GACGAACGCUGGCGGCGUGCCUAACACAUGCAAGUUGAGCGACGAACCAGGGCUUGCCCUGGGGCAAAGCAGCGAACGGGUGAGUAACACGUGGGUAACCUGCCCCGAUAACCGGGACAACCCGAGGAAACUCGGGCUAAUACCGGAUGUGCUCGCCGGACUCAAGUCCGGCGCGUAAAGGAAGCUUCGGCCUCCGUAUCGGGAGGGGCCCGCGGCCCAUUAGCUAGUUGGUGAGGUAACGGCUCACCAAGGCAACGAUGGGUAGCUGGUCUGAGAGGACGAUCAGCCACACUGGGACUGAGACACGGCCCAGACUCCUACGGGAGGCAGCAGUGGGGAAUCAUGCGCAAUGCGCGAAAGCGUGACGCAGCAACGCCGCGU
Molecule: ribosomal RNA, 381 nt
Filed under: uncultured bacterium
Lineage: Bacteria
Description: bacterial SSU rRNA
Rfam family: Bacterial small subunit ribosomal RNA
Source: RNAcentral